GACCUCGGAUCAGGUAGGGAUACCCGCUGAACUUAAGCAUAUCAAUAAGCGGAGGAAAAGAAACCAACAGGGAUUGCCUCAGUAACGGCGAGUGAAGCGGCAAAAGCUCAAAUUUGAAAUCUGGCUCUUUCAGGGUCCGAGUUGUAAUUUGUAGAAGAUGCUUUGGGUGUGGCUCUGGUUUAAGUUCUUUGGAAUAUUACAUCAUAGAGGGUGAGAAUCCCGUAUGUGACCAGUCGCCGCGCCCGUGUAAAGCUCUUUCAACGAGUCGAGUUGUUUGGGAAUGCAGCUCAAAAUGGGAGGUAUAUUUCUUCUAAAGCUAAAUAUUGGCCAGAGACCGAUAGCGCACAAGUAGAGUGAUCGAAAGAUGAAAAGCACUUUGGAAAGAGAGUUAAACAGUACGUGAAAUUGUUGAAAGGGAAGCGC
This 423-nucleotide ribosomal RNA is filed under the name uncultured fungus. RNAcentral describes it as "eukaryotic LSU rRNA". It matches the Rfam family "Eukaryotic large subunit ribosomal RNA", at positions 1 to 422 of the family's 3401-position model. Lineage: Eukaryota; Fungi. The record is from RNAcentral.